UCAAUUAAUUUCGGUGACCACAGCGGAAACAUCCUCCUAAACAACGUCACAUUCCUGGACCCAGCGUCAGGCGUCAGUGGUGACAAAGUGUCCUCUGCAUCGAUGUCUACGAUGACC
This 117-nucleotide non-coding RNA is filed under the name Protocruzia adhaerens. Lineage: Eukaryota; Ciliophora; Spirotrichea. The record is from RNAcentral.